RNAcentral lists this ribosomal RNA (557 nucleotides) under marine sediment bacterium BB0608_AND_9.1_3G0. RNAcentral's name for it is "bacterial SSU rRNA". It matches the Rfam family "Bacterial small subunit ribosomal RNA", at positions 73 to 623 of the family's 1533-position model. The record is from RNAcentral.
GAGGUGCUUGCACCUCUGGCGUCGAGCGGCGGACGGGUGAGUAAUGCUUGGGAAUAUGCCUUAUGGUGGGGGACAACAGUUGGAAACGACUGCUAAUACCGCAUGAUGUCUACGGACCAAAGUGGGGGACCUUCGGGCCUCACGCCAUAAGAUUAGCCCAAGUGGGAUUAGCUAGUUGGUGAGGUAAUGGCUCACCAAGGCGACGAUCCCUAGCUGGUUUGAGAGGAUGAUCAGCCACACUGGGACUGAGACACGGCCCAGACUCCUACGGGAGGCAGCAGUGGGGAAUAUUGCACAAUGGGCGCAAGCCUGAUGCAGCCAUGCCGCGUGUGUGAAGAAGGCCUUCGGGUUGUAAAGCACUUUCAGUAAGGAGGAAAGGUUAAGUGUUAAUAGCACUUAGCUGUGACGUUACUUACAGAAGAAGCACCGGCUAACUCCGUGCCAGCAGCCGCGGUAAUACGGAGGGUGCGAGCGUUAAUCGGAAUUACUGGGCGUAAAGCGUACGCAGGCGGUUUGUUAAGCGAGAUGUGAAAGCCCCGGGCUCAACCUGGGAACUG